This 253-nucleotide ribosomal RNA is filed under the name uncultured prokaryote. Its description in RNAcentral is "partial 16S ribosomal RNA". It matches the Rfam family "Bacterial small subunit ribosomal RNA", at positions 525 to 777 of the family's 1533-position model. The record is from RNAcentral.
ACGAACCGUCCAAACGUUAUUCGGAAUCACUGGGCUUACAGAGUUCGUAGGCGGUCCCAAAAGUUAGGUGUGAAAUCCCUCGGCUCAACCGAGGAACUGCGCUUAAAACUGUGGGACUCGAGGGAGAUAGAGGAAAGCGGAACUGAUGGUGGAGCGGUGAAAUGCGUUGAUAUCAUCAGGAACACCGGUGGUGAAGGCGGCUUUCUGGGUCUUACCUGACGCUGAGGAACGAAAGCUAGGGGAGCGAACGGGA